Molecule: ribosomal RNA, 438 nt
Filed under: uncultured bacterium
Lineage: Bacteria
Description: bacterial SSU rRNA
Rfam family: Bacterial small subunit ribosomal RNA
Source: RNAcentral
AACGCGAAGAACCUUACCUGGGCUCGAAAUGCAGAGAGCGAUACCAGAAUGGUAUUUCCGUAAGGAUUCUGUAUAGGUGCUGCAUGGCUGUCGUCAGCUCGUGCCGUGAGGUGUUGGGUUAAGUCCCGCAACGAGCGCAACCCUUAUCACUAGUUGCCAUCAUUUAAGGUGGGGACUCUAAUGAGACUGCCUAGGUUAACUAGGAGGAAGGCGAGGAUGACGUCAAGUCCGCAUGGCCUUUAUGUCCAGGGCUACACACGUGCUACAAUGGUCGGUACAGAGGGCUACAAGACCGUAAGGUGGAGCAAAUCCCAGAAAGCCGAUCUCAGUUCAGAUUGUGGACUGCAACUCGUCCACAUGAAGUCGGAAUUGCUAGUAAUGGCGUGUCAGCAAUAACGCCGUGAAUACGUUCCCGGGCCUUGUACACACCGACUGUAC